GAUGAACGCUGGCGGCGUGCUUAACACAUGCAAGUCGAACGGAAAGGCCCAAGCUUGCUUGGGUACUCGAGUGGCGAACGGGUGAGUAACACGUGGGUGAUCUGCCCUGCACUUCGGGAUAAGCCUGGGAAACUGGGUCUAAUACCGGAUAGGACCACUUCUUGGAUGUUGUGGUGGAAAGUUUUUUCGGUGUGGGAUGAGCUCGCGGCCUAUCAGCUUGUUGGUGGGGUAAUGGCCUACCAAGGCGUCGACGGGUAGCCGGCCUGAGAGGGUGUACGGCCAGUCUUGGACCGUAGGGAGGCCCGGGCUACCGACGGGGGGGGGAGGGGGGGAAUCUUGACGAAGGGGCGCAGGCUGAAUGCGGCGGGGCGGCGGGGGGGAGGACGCCGUUAGGUUUGAAAACCACUUUCGCAAGGAACGAGGCUUUUUGUGAGGGUACCUGAAAAGAAAGCCGGGGCUAACUACGUG
RNAcentral lists this ribosomal RNA (468 nucleotides) under uncultured bacterium. RNAcentral describes it as "partial 16S ribosomal RNA". It matches the Rfam family "Bacterial small subunit ribosomal RNA", at positions 28 to 507 of the family's 1533-position model. The record is from RNAcentral.